RNAcentral lists this unclassified non-coding RNA (223 nucleotides) under uncultured fungus. RNAcentral describes it as "sequence contains ITS1, 5.8S rRNA gene". The stretch from base 175 to 223 matches the Rfam family "5.8S ribosomal RNA", at positions 1 to 49 of the family's 154-position model. Lineage: Eukaryota; Fungi. The record is from RNAcentral.
UUUCCGUAGGUGAACCUGCGGAAGGAUCAUUAUCAAUUAUAGGCGGCAGCAAUGCCACUAUACACCCUUUGUCUUUUGCGUACUGUAUGUUUCCUCGGUGGGCUCGCCCGCCGAUAGGACAUUUUAAAACCUUUUGUAAUUGCAAUCAGCGUCAGAAAUAACUAUAAUAGUUACAACUUUCAACAACGGAUCUCUUGGUUCUGGCAUCGAUGAAGAACGCAGC